GCGAUCACUUCGCGACACGCGCACGGUCGCCGCCAGCCGUGACGGCCGGUGCCGGGGAAGCAGCGUGGGCGGGGGGCGGUGGCCGCCCCGGGGCGCGGAGCACGGGGCGCCCGCGCGGUCCGAUGCGGCGCGGCGGGCAGGAUGCACCAGAAGCUGUUGCGGAGCGCGCACUACAUCGAGCUGGGGAGCUACCACUACUGGCCCGUGCUGGUGCCCCGCGGCAUCCGCCUCUACACCUACGAGCAGAUUCCCGUCUUCCUGAAGGACAACCCCUACAUCACCGACGGUUACCGGGCCUACCUGCCCUCUCGCCUCUGCCUCAAAAGGUGAGGGCAGGACCCGCUGCUCCGCGCCGGGCCCGUCAGGCUGAGCCCCGGCUCACCGCCCCGCCCCUGCGCCUUAUGUCUCCUCGCAGCCUCUUCAUCCUCUCCAACGAGACCGUCAACAUCUGGAGCCACCUGCUGGGCUUCGUCCUCUUCUUCACGCUGGGCAUCUACGACCUGACGGCUGUGCUGCCGGCCGCCGGCGCCUCCCGAGAGGACUUUGUAAUCUGCUCUGUGUGCCUCUUCUGCUUCCAGGUCUGUAUGCUUUGCUCAGUGGGAUAUCAUCUUUUCUGUUGUCACCGCUCAGAGAAGACCAGUCGACGAUGGAUGGCAUUAGAUUAUGCAGGAAUUUCCAUUGGUAUCCUGGGCUGCUAUGUGUCAGGCGUGUUUUAUGCAUUUUAUUGUAAUAACUACUGGCGUCAGGUAUAUUUGAUCACUGUGCUGGCAAUGAUCUUGGCAGUAUUUUUCGCUCAGAUUCAUCCCAGUUACCUCACACAGCAGUGGCAAAGAUUGCGUUCCAUCAUCUUUUGCUCAGUGUCUGGAUAUGGAAUUAUUCCCACUAUCCACUGGAUUUGGCUCAACGGUGGCAUGGGUGCAUCUAUUGUACAGGAGUUUGCUCCGCGAGUAGUUGUCAUGUACUUCAUCGCUGCUGUAGCUUUUCUCUUCUAUAUUUCCAAAGUUCCAGAAAGAUACUUCCCAGGGCAGCUGAACUACCUCGGCUCUAGUCACCAAGUAUGGCACAUCCUUGCGGUUGUGAUGCUGUAUUGGUGGCAUCAAUCCACAGUGUACAUCAUGCAAUACAGGCACAGCAAACCCUGUCCUGAGUACAGCACAGACUUGUGAGUGAAGAGGCACUCUGAUGAGAUUUCUGACUUUGAGGCCGUGGACCUUGCCUAAUAUGCUGAGCUAUGAAGUUGAGCACUGAGGCAGUUCCUUUCUGACUUCUGGACUGUUACCCUGGUUGCAGGGACAGCAUAUUACCAGGAGGUUUGAAAAAAACAGCAGCAUUGCACAGGAUCCAGGAUGCACUUCCUUCUCAGUCAAGUACAAAACAGGUCUUCCUGGAGUAGGACAGUGAAAAGAAAACAAACAAACUAAAACCCAACAAUAUAAAUUCACCAUCAUUACAUCAUGCAAGCUGGCUGUGCCUUCUUGAACUUGAACGAACUGUACAACUCAGGUCCCUGUCAAUUCAACCAGAUAAAUUACUCCACUAAUUAAAACCUCUAUGAAGCAGCUCAGAGAGGUGGAGGGGUGGAACCCAUUGGAAGCUUUUAUGGUUUGGAAGGAAAUGGAGCUGCUCCGAAGGGAUCUAACUCUAGUGCCUGUUGCUGCUGGCUCUGCGUGCUCUGCACAACCAGUUCUGUGAAGGGUACUGCACCAAAGUCAUCUAUUUUCAGCCCGUCACCACUGUGAACAGCUGCAUGCAAGGAGCUCUGCCUAGGUCUACCAGCCACUACUGCAGUGCCAUGAUCUCCACGGUUGUCACUGGAACCUUGAUGCUGAGGAUGCCGCAACAAGUCUGGUGGGUGGAAGGGUUUGGCUCCAAAAGGAUCCAGCAGACUCUCAUCUGUCUGCAGAGGGUUGCUCCGAUCUUUGCUGUCAGUCAAUGAAAUGCUUAUGUUCUCUUUGGAGUCCGAGAUAGUCAGGAACUCAUUGCUGCUCUGCGAGUCCCUGCGGCCUGCUUUCUUGUGCCUGCGGGCUCUCUCAGGGGUGCGGUAGCUUGGCUUCAAUGCCUUCUUCGUGGUGGUUGGGGUGCCAUGGUGGCGCUUCCCAUUGUUCUUUGAGACCUCCUGUUUCAUGCGCCUUUGGCGGGAAGAAAGUUUCUGCAGGUUACGCUGCUGCUUCACCUUCUGCUGCUGCUGACUCCCUGUGACCUCUUCAAAAGGAACCAGCCCAAAUAGGUCCUCUUUACUCCCACCAGUCUUGGGGAGAAGGGAAGGCUGAAAUGGGGUGCAGCCGAAAAUAUCGACACUCUGUGGAGAGGUGGGGGAGAGCAGAGUCUUAGUUUCUGCCACCUGGCCAUCUUGCUGAGACACCUUUUUGCUGAAGGGGGCUUUUGUGAAAACAUCAAAGUCAUCCUGCUCUUCGUUUAGGCUGGGAAAAGCAGUCUGAGCAAAGACAUCUUUGUCCCUCUUCUCUCUUGCCUGAGGCUGAAGAGUGAAAAAGGGCACUGCCCCAAACACAUCAAAUUCUUGGCCAGGGCUCACCUUGAUGACAGUACUUGGCACCUCAGACAAGGGUGUGUGCAUUAAACUGGGUUCUUUGAUUUCACCACUGGCAAUGCCACAGCUGAACCUACUGCUCGGAAGACCUUCCACAGAUUUUUGCUUGGUACGACCAGAAUCAGAGUCAGAACUUUGCUUCUCUUCCUCCUCUUCCUCAGAGUCCAUGAGGAGAGGCCGGUGGCCUAAAUUCUCUGGUUCUGUAUCAUUGUCAUCAUUGAAGUCUCCAUUCGCUCCUUGCAAGACUUCUUCAUCCUCCUGUUCUUCUUCCUCACUGCUCUUGGGAGAAGGAGGAUCAGAUUCAAAAUCACUCUCUGAUUCAUUGCCACUUUUUGUCACAUCUCCCUCUGUAGUUUUACUCCCACGGCUCAGUUUUCCAACCUUGUUUGGGCUCCCUAAAUUAUUUCCUUGAUUGCUGGCUGAGUUAUCCACUUGUUUUCCAGGGGAACCUGCAGGUCCGAAAAAAAUGCAAAACAAAACUUGAAAUAUACUCUUAAAAUCAACACUUACUCCACAUAUGCCAUAGCCACACAUACAAAGAGUUAAUGCAAACAUAUAUUCUGUAAUUACUGAAGAAAAUAAGCUAAAAAUCAGAUCUAAUAUUUCAAACAGUAGUCAUAAAAUUUACUAAUAGUCAGACUUUCCAGCUUUACUCCUCAAGCUCAAGAUAUCUAGAAAUACAACACUAGUACUUUUGUGGCAUGAAGAAGGGACCAAUGGACACAGAUGGUCUCUAGAGCCAGCUUUUCAAAUGCACUCAUUACGCAGCCGCACCGCUCCAAAGAAACAGGAGCCAGCAUGCUUGAAAGAUUUUUAAUAUAUUAUUAUUUUUUAAAGCAAGCUACUUAUUUGUUAAAGUGCUUAGGUUUUGAUAAUCUGCUUUGACAACCUUAAUGCUCUAGUAAUAAAAACAAUCAGCAUAGGCAAAAGUAUUCAGCAAUUUCAAAUAAUUCACUUCAGAUCUCGGGUACCACUUUACAGCAACAACAGAUCUCAGAGUGCUCUGCUCUACUGACCUACCUACUAGUGCAUGUGCAGUUUCUGCAUUCCAGAAACUAAAUGCACAUUGUUGACAAUCACAUCCCUUAAGGCUGCCUUUUGAAGAGGUUCUCCAAAUCUAACCCACUGUAUGAAGGGUUUCACCACACAGUUGAAUACAUGUGGCAAUUUUUACACCUUGUUAAGCCUCCAGUCUUUCCCAAACUUUCAUAGCACUAGCCAAUCCUACAAAACAUCUCCAAGAUAAUUAGGUUCCUCUAAAGUCCAUGAAAAUCAGGAACUAGGCAAAAGAGAAAGUUUGUUCUCAUCCAAGCUGGAGGAAAGAUUCCAUGACAUCCCAAUGUUGCAGAAUAAAUUUAAUCAAACUAACUUCUUAACCAUAUUGUAUUCUUUCAGCAGUAUUUUGCUUGAAUAACCUAUUGCAGCAUAAGUAGCGAAAAUUAGCCUGAGUAGCCAGGCUCACUGGAAUUCCAGGCUGCAUCUCGUGAAUUUUAACCUGUUUGCUCGGUGAUGGAGGGACCUUGAAGACUGGUACAAGGAGCUAGAGAGGAAACUGUCAGCAGAGGCUGAAAACCACCUUAAUAAGAACAGUAAAAAAGCUGCCUGGAGGACAGAAAAGAGGAUCCACUAAGAAACAAAGAAGCUCCUAGAUGCAGAAUUACCAUUGGACCGAAAGGCAUGUGGGCAGCACAUGAAGGAUGCAUGAAGAGUGGAUGCACAGACUAGGAGGGUUUAAAAGCCCAAGACUCCUUUGUCACAGGGUCCUCCCCCUUGAGAGGCACCCAGUACAGACUGUUUCUUUGCUGUACCUUCCCAUUCAUUAUUUUAGCUUUUAAUUAAAUUACUUUUUUCUAAGCACAGAUGUCUGAAUCUACGCUACAGGAAACCUAGGGUCAAGAACAUUUCUUUAACAAUGAUUUCUGUCCUGCCCUCAAGGGCAACAACUCCUUCCAUGAGCUGAACAAGCAUGACUUGGAGCCUGCAUACAGCCACAACAGAGCUAUGUGGUUUGGGGGUUUUUGUCUCUCUAGUGUGUUUUAAGGUAUACAAAGGGAAAGGGACCAGACAACAAUCCCCACGAGAAGACAGCAAGGUGAUUACUAACAUAAUUAUAUGUAAAUGGAGAUGCAGGAAGAAAGAUGUUUUCCAGCAUGUGUCCUAGUCUGAAAUACUCCAUCCCUCCCACCCAUCAGUGCCAAAACUCUAAUUUGGAUUGAAAAAAUCCCACCAAGAAUUAAGCUUGAUGGCCACUGCCAUUUGUGCAUUUUGAAAAGGUCUCUCAAAGUGGUUCCCCUUGGUUUCAGCAGAAAUAGCCUCUCUCCAUCAGGGCCUUCCCCACCAAUAAUGCCAACAAAGCACACACUGUGAUAGCACAAUAUCUUUUUUUAAAUUAAUAUUUACCUUGGUAUUUCAAACCUGCACUUAGAGAAUACCUUUUCCCCUAGUGACACUGAAGCUCCACAUUCAGGCCCUUCUAACUUCUAGUGCAGCAAUUCAGGCCACCCCCCCAAAAGCUCUUGUUUUAACUCAAGCUUGAGAGAAUUGUUUCUUGUUUCUUUCUAAAUACAAUCUGUGAGUUUACUCUCUCUACAGACACCUUGAUCCGUGAUAUUUACUAUCUGACAACUAGACUAAGAGAACAACUCACUGAUGACUCUUUCAUGGGGUGUUUGGCUUCGAAAUACAGGAAACAGUGAAAAUUUUACAUCAGUAAAGAAAACAGAUAGCAAGACCCACAGACAAGAUAAGCCUGCACAGCACAAAUUAGUAUGAAAGUCGUCAGACUCAUUGAAACCAAGUUUCUCCCUAUGUUGGAGCCCCGCCACUGCACAGCAAUGUCUUCAGAAGCAUAACUGAUUGUCAGAUUUCUAUUUAAAGAGACUGAGUAGGACAAAAAGCAAAACACUUGGUCUCAGCUUGGGAAAGCAGAUUUGCUCAUGAGAUGUCCUUUUCCCUAGGACACACAUCACAACGCAGCCAUGCUGCUCUAGGAAUGUAUAAUUGAACAUGUAACACUAAUACCAACAAUAAUAACGCACCUCUUCGCAGAGAGUAACUGCCAAAAAUUUGUGUGCAAUACUUAGAAGUGGGCUAUAUUACAGUCACUCCAGACUGAAUAUUAUGCAUGAUGAAGGCAGAUGAAGGCUAGAAUGACAAAACCAACUGCAUUUUUGCUUGUGUCAGCAAGGACUUCAACUGAAAACCAGUUUAUACUUGCUUAACAUUCACCUUGAGUUCCCUUUUACCUGGCUAGGAACAUCCAUGUAUCCCACUUCAAAGCCUCAACUACCGAGAUACUGUGCAACAUAAACAAUACACCAUGAGCAAGGCAUACAAGUUUCUCUGUCAUCUUGAGGACAGACACUAGUUCUCAUGAAAGCAAUUAUUAGAAGCUCUAUUCACAGCACUGCACUAGAUUGCUGACCCUCUCACCUCAUCAAAAUUAACACAUUCCAUUUACAGGUUUGUUAAGCAGUUGCUGGAGUUUAAAUAAACUCAAUGUCAUCACAUCAUUGAAAAAUCUGGGGAUGGAUGUGUGCACCAGUUCUUCUUCUGAAAAAAUAAAUCUUCAGCCAGAAUCCAGAUUGUGACUCUUUUGUUCUUGUAAUAUAUAAAAGAAUUUCUCAGAUAGUUUAUUCUUUCACAAGGAAACUAGCAUGCAACUUGCAGGCUAGGUCAUAUUUUUCUCUUUUUAUGCUUAAGUUUAGACCAGAAUGCUAAGUUCUACAAAGUCAGUUCCUUCCUUUUUUUUUUUUGGUUGGCUGGUUUGUUUUUGUUUGUUUGUGGGUUUUUUGGUGUGUUUUUCUUUUGUUGCUGUUGUUGUGGGGGUUUUUUUAAGAAGGAAUUAAUAGUGGGUUUCUUCAUUCAGUAACCAUUUUGAUCUUUUCCAAUUACACUUAAAAAAAAAAAAAAACCCACAAAAA
Columba livia (rock pigeon) is the source of this 6471-nucleotide RNA transcript. It is a transcript of the gene named progestin and adipoQ receptor family member 3, with no coding region annotated. The transcript has 7 exons. The record is from RefSeq and is a predicted model, not a curated record. Lineage: Eukaryota; Metazoa; Chordata; Aves; Columbiformes; Columbidae.